Molecule: ribosomal RNA, 254 nt
Filed under: uncultured bacterium
Lineage: Bacteria
Description: partial 16S ribosomal RNA
Rfam family: Bacterial small subunit ribosomal RNA
Source: RNAcentral
UACGUAGGGGGCAAGCGUUGUCCGGAAUUAUUGGGCGUAAAGAGCGCGUAGGCGGUCCGAUAAGUCGGCUGUGAAAGUCUAGGGCUCAACCCUGGAAAGCCGGCCGAUACUGUCGGACUAGAGUCCGGAAGAGGCGAGUGGAAUUCCCCGGUGUAGCGGUGAAAUGCGCAGAUAUCGGGAGGAACACCAAUGGCGAAGGCAGCUCGCUGGGACGGUACUGACGCUGAGGCGCGAAAGCGUGGGGAGCAAACAGG